RNAcentral lists this ribosomal RNA (253 nucleotides) under uncultured bacterium. RNAcentral's name for it is "partial 16S ribosomal RNA". It matches the Rfam family "Bacterial small subunit ribosomal RNA", at positions 524 to 776 of the family's 1533-position model. The record is from RNAcentral.
UACGGGGGGGGCAAGCGUUGUUCGGAAUUACUGGGCGUAAAGGGCUCGUAGGCGGCCAACUAAGUCAUACGUGAAAUCCCUCAGCUUAACUGGGGAACUGCGUGUGAUACUGGAUGGCUUGGAUUUGGGAGAGGGAUGCGGAAUUCCAGGUGUAGCGGUGAAAUACGUAGAUAUCUGGAGGAACACCGGUGGCGAAGGCGGCAUCCUGGACCAAUAUUGACGCUGAGGAGCGAAAGCCAGGGGAGCAAACGGG